GUUAUUCUGUUUGAUUUUAUUUAUAGCACUUAGCACUGUAUGACAUUGUUUAUUUUGAAAUUGUUUAUUUCUCUCUCCUCAAUAAUAUAAGCCCAAAAAAGACAAGGAAUAUGUUUUUGAUUCUGUUUCUAUCCCCGGGCCCUAGAAUAGGGUCUGGGAGAUAGUUGCAGCAGAAUCCCUAGCUGAAAUGGCAAUCUUGUGCUAACUGGAAAAAAAGAGCUCCC
RNAcentral lists this long non-coding RNA (224 nucleotides) under Homo sapiens (human). Its description in RNAcentral is "non-protein coding lnc-PPIAL4F-7:1". Lineage: Eukaryota; Metazoa; Chordata; Mammalia; Primates; Hominidae. The record is from RNAcentral.